RNAcentral lists this ribosomal RNA (253 nucleotides) under uncultured bacterium. Its description in RNAcentral is "partial 16S ribosomal RNA". It matches the Rfam family "Bacterial small subunit ribosomal RNA", at positions 524 to 776 of the family's 1533-position model. The record is from RNAcentral.
UACAGAGGUCUCAAGCGUUGUUCGGAUUCAUUGGGCGUAAAGGGUGCGUAGGCGGCGCGGUAAGUCGGGUGUGAAAUCUCGGGGCUUAACUCCGAAACUGCAUUCGAUACUGCCGUGCUUGAGGACUGGAGAGGAGACUGGAAUUUACGGUGCAGCGGUGAAAUGCGUAGAUAUCGUAAGGAAGACCAGUGGCGAAGGCGGGUCUCUGGACAGUUCCUGACGCUGAGGUGCGAAAGCGUGGGGAGCAAACAGG